Long non-coding RNA from Seriola aureovittata, 1957 nucleotides. RefSeq lists it as uncharacterized. The record is from RefSeq and is a predicted model, not a curated record. NCBI's taxonomy places the organism in Eukaryota, Metazoa, Chordata, Actinopteri, Carangiformes, Carangidae. The transcript has 4 exons.
AGAGUGUGAGCCACCACAAUCCUGAGCAUCAGAACAGGCAUCCACAGACGCAACGCAAUCUUAAUCCUCUGCCUCGGAAUCAGCAUCAUUAUAUAGUUUGCAGGCAACAACGGGAGAGGCUUCUGUGUGUGUGUGUGUGUGUAUCUUUAAGUGGGUGAGUUGUGCAUUGUGUGUAUGAAAGUGAGUGUAUGUGGGUUAGGCUUGUGUUUGUGAAUAGGUGAACUGCUUUUGACUUUGACGAGGUAAUAUGUUUCACUGUUGAUGUAAGUGGGUGUGUGCGUAUCGGCGGAUGUGCAGGUGAGAAGAGAGGGCGUGCGUGUAAAUUAGUGUGUAUCAGAGUAUAGCUACAAAGAAAGCCAGAGAGUGUGAAGUGUCCGCAAGAGUACUCAAAGAAAGUGAACUAUGAGCAUGUUGAAGUAUAAGUGAGUGGGUUUAAAAGUGCAUGGUAACUCAGUGUGUGUGUGUGUGUGUGUGUGUGUGUGUGUGUAAGUGUGUGUUGAAUGUAUGAGUAAGAGAGAAAAGGAAAAAAAGCAGUUAGGCUGGAGAGCUCAAAUGAUAUCGCAGCAGCAGCGGUAGCAGUAGCAGUAUAAGGCACCGGUGUAGUAGGCAGCUGUGUGCAGAGUCGCUUAAUAUACCGGAGGAGGAGUGAGGGAAAAAAACACUCAAGAGGAGCAAGAACAGGGCUCUGUGGUGGUGAUGAUAUGGGGAUCAAUCUUGGAUCGAUGAAGGACAGAAAGGAGGAAGAGGAAGAUGUGGAGUUCCUGAUGUGUGGGACAUCGAGGGGCUGUGGGCGACUGCGAGUAGCUGAGUUCAUGUGCCUGCUGCUGUUGGCCCAGUGCAUUAUGGGUAGGACUGGAGGAAGAGGUUUUCUGCAGAAGGUCUGGCAGCAGGCCGGACCUUGAAGCACACAGACUGGACAAGAUUUUAGAAAAGUCUGACUUCAGGUGCAAUUAUUAGUUACAAACAAGAUCGAUUUAUCCUCAGUAUCAACGGCAACAAAACCAAGUCAGAUUGACAUCAGGAGAUUGAAUGUGGAAUCAAAAGAGAAAUAAUUGUCAAAGACAAUAAACACUAACUUUUGAACCUCACCAUAAGCAGACACAAAAGCAUUAAAUCAUAGUAAUAAAACAGUUCACGUCAUCUCACAUUAUCAGGAAUGUAAAACAUAAACCAAUGACAGAUUUAGCUUGUCCCAGACUGAUUUUCAAGGUUUAAAUGGUUCAAUAAAUCCUAAACAGAUCUAUGGGUUUUUAUUCAUUGAUUUUAACAUUAAUUAUGUAUUUAAUCUUAGGUUUAGUGGUCAACAGAAUUGAGCAAUUAAUUGAAAUAUGGUGCAAUAUCCGAACCGCAGGAGCUGCAGUUUUUUGAUAAAAAGGUAAAGUUUGUCACAACAUGACAUAAAUGAAGCAUUGUGUUGCUACGGAGAUGCACCGGGGUACAAAUAAUAUUCUCCAGAUGUAAGAGAACAUGCUUGUUUGGUACAGACCCCAGCAAAAACGACAUCAUCAUUUUUAUAUUGUAUGUUUUUUCAGUGAAAAUGAAAUUCAAAAACUUACAAUCGCAACUCCAAUUGAAAUAUCUGUCAAAAUAAUCUCAAUAUGAUUAUUUGUGCGUAUCAUUCAGCCCUAGUGGUCAGCAUAAACUUUUCCACAUGUGGGCGUUCUCAGUCGAUGUCGUAGGAAUUUGUAGGAAUCUUGAGUAAGAACGGGGGGUUCUUCGCACUAAUUCUCCACUUGUACUAAAAAUUGGUUUCGCAAUUGCCAUGUCACAAUUUCAGCUUGCAACAUAUGUUUCAUUUUUGAAAAAUUGCUCAAUUCUUUGUGUGCUGGAGGACUUUGUUGUUACAAAGGCCCUGUUUUUCGGAUUAAAAGGGAUACUCCGGUGAAGGUGUUUUCCACAUCAGGAAAGUUUUUAACAAUAAAUGAUCACAAUGCAAGUAUUAUACUGAUGCUGGAGU